UUAAAUUCUGAUAUAUCAGGAAAGCGUCAAAAAAAUAGAGUUGAAAAUUUGAAGAAAAAACAACAGAACUGAAACAGGGACAUCGAUUUCAGGAGAAAAUAGCACAAAAAUAAAAAACAAACAAGUCUCAAAAUUCUUUUCAUUAGUUAUAUGAAGACAGAGAACUCAUUUCUUACAUCCAUUUGUAAGUUAUAUACAUUAUGCAAGCAAAGAACCCAGCCAUGCCCCCAGUCCUCAAACCUUGUUUUGAUUGACCAAAGCUUGCACUCAGGAGUCAAUGAUUCACCCAAAUUAAGAAUGUUCCUUGUAAAUUGUCAUCGAUUUUGACAGACUUAUGGCUCAGUUGGGACCCCAACAGCUCAAGUACAUGACAGUCCUCAAAGACUCUUCUGAUUGUUUAGACUUGUUCAGUCCCUUUGAAAUUGCAGCUGAGGAUUGAGAGGAGAGGUUCUUGGCCUGUGAAGCUGACCUCACAUGGUUCUUGGCAUGCUGCACAACUGACCUUACUGUGUAGUUCCAUCUGCAAAUACCUUGAUCUUUCAGAGCCUCCACAGCUCCAAUACUAGCUGCAACAACCCAUGCUCUGCUUGUAGAACUCAUCUUUGCAAACACUUGAUUCUUGAAUGUUGAAAUUGAAGAAAGCUUGUAUAAAGACAGAUACACUGUGGUUUUGUUGAUUGAUGCUCAAGUGAAAGGGGGUUGCUUAUAUUUAUAGGAUAGCAAAAAAGGGGUGGUCCAGAAAGCCAAAUAUUAGGAGAAAACAACAGGCUAUAUGCUCGUGGUUUUCCUUUUCCUGGGCGGGUGGGGUUGGAUGCACUUGGAACCAUAUGACUUAAAUGCCCAUCUGAAAUCACUUGACGACAACAAAUAGAUAUAGGAUAAUAUUCAAUGAAUGCACGGUGGGCACAUGGUUUGCUCUUAAUAAACUAAUAGCGGGCUGACUACGGGAGUACAACAGUCCAAACCACGCAAUUGGGAAUUGAAAAACAAGAGGCAUAUUUUGGAAUAUGAUAAGAGCAAACUUUUCGCCACGUAUUGAGUUCGUAAUCAAAUAUCUGUACAAUUUCUUUGUUUAUAUAUAGUCACUCCUUGCUUAUGAGCUAGUAUUGGUAUGUGCUUCCCGAUCAUCUAAUCUACCUGGCAGCAGGAUCGCCUGACCGACUAAUCAUUCAUGCAAAUAAUUUAACUUUUUUAAUAUUUACUUCAUUUCGUAAAGAAAAAUUAGUAUAAGUGAAAAAGGACAGACGUCUGACGUAAAUAAAGACCAACGGUUGGGUUUAAUGUAGUUCAUGGUAAUAAAAUUGAUGUUUUAUUAUUAAAAAAAAUUCAUAUUUUUAUAGAAAGAGCAAAGGUUGGAAUAAAACGCACAAAGUUAUGAAACUAGAAAUUGACAUCAUCUAUUACAAAACUAAGGUAAGUUGCAUCUAUCUGAUUGUUAGAUUUUAUGCAGAGCAAAAGGCAAGUACUGAUUCAUGUCUCUUCCAAGAUUUCUAACUUUUUAGAAAUGUAAAAUAAUUCUAGUGCUAUGUCCUAUUAAUUUUUGCUGCAUGUAUAUACAGAAAAUCAGAUGCUAACUUUUAUUUAGUUUAACAAAAUAAAAUAGAAAACAUAAAAAUUAAUUGCAUGAUUAUAUAUAAAUUAAGAACACAAGUUGACAAAAUUGCUCCUUUUCUUCUAAUUAAAAGUAGCUUUCACAGCUAUUCAAUACUACAAUUUUCAUAUCCCCUCUCCAUUUUCAAGGACUAAAAUCUAACACACUACAACUUCAUAUAUGCAUAUAUAUAUAAUAGAACGACCAUCAGUGUCAGCAAGGCCCCCAACAGCUCAAGAAUAUUACUUUCCUCAAAGUUUCUUAGCCUGCUUAGUUUUUUCAUCAAAAAGUCUGCUUCGAACAGUUGCAGAAGAAGAAAGCUUCUUGGCUUGAGAAUCUGAUCUGAGAUUGCUGUUGACAUGUUGGCUAAGUGACCUUUAUUGCUUGAUCUUUCAAAGCCUCAACGGCUCCAACACUUGCUGCCCAGCCAUGCCCCACUAUAUUUGAUCGCUCCGUCUUCAAACCUUCUCUUUAAUGUCCAAAGCUUGAACUGACGAAUCAAUGAUUCACCCAAAGGAUGUUCAUACUAGCUUCUAAUGAGAAUUAAGAUGGCUCAGUUGGGACCCCAGCAACUCAAUUACAUGACAGUCCUCAAAGACUCUUCUGAUUGUUUAGACUGCCUCAGUCCUUUGGAAAUUGCAGCUGACGAUUGAGAGGAGAGGUUCUUGGCCUGUGAAGCUGACCUCACGUAGUUCUUGGCAUGCUGCACAACCGCCUUUGCAGCAUAGUUCCAUCUGCAGAUACCUUGGUCCUUCAGUGCUUCCACAGCUCCAAUACUAGCUGCAACAAUCCAUGCUCUCCUACUUGAAC
This 2401-nucleotide long non-coding RNA is filed under the name Gossypium barbadense (sea-island cotton). RNAcentral describes it as "long non-coding RNA (GBAR_LNC014532)". The record is from RNAcentral. Lineage: Eukaryota; Viridiplantae; Streptophyta; Magnoliopsida; Malvales; Malvaceae.